Molecule: ribosomal RNA, 424 nt
Filed under: uncultured Saprospiraceae bacterium
Lineage: Bacteria; Pseudomonadati; Bacteroidota; Saprospiria; Saprospirales; Saprospiraceae
Description: bacterial SSU rRNA
Rfam family: Bacterial small subunit ribosomal RNA
Source: RNAcentral
UAAGGAAUAUUGGUCAAUGGGCGGAAGCCUGAACCAGCCAUCCCGCGUGCAGGAUGAAGGCCCUAUGGGUUGUAAACUGCUUUAGACUGAGAAGAAACCCCUCAAUGCGUUGGGGGCUGACGGUAUCAGUAGAAUAAGCACCGGCUAACUCCGUGCCAGCAGCCGCGGUAAUACGGAGGGUGCAAGCGUUAUCCGGAAUCACUGGGUUUAAAGGGUGCGUAGGCGGCUUGAUAAGUCAGAGGUGAAAGCCCGCAGCUUAACUGCGGAACUGCCUUUGAUACUGUUGAGCUUGAAACAGGACGAGGUUGGCGGAAUGUGGCAUGUAGCGGUGAAAUGCAUAGAUAUGCCAUAGAACACCGAUUGCGAAGGCAGCUGGCUAGACCUGAUUUGACGCUGAGGCACGAAAGCGUGGGGAGCGAACAGG